Molecule: non-coding RNA, 45 nt
Filed under: Schistosoma mansoni
Lineage: Eukaryota; Metazoa; Platyhelminthes; Trematoda; Strigeidida; Schistosomatidae
Source: RNAcentral
AUCCAUCUGACGAGUCCUAAAUAGGACGAAACGAGUAUCCUGGAU